Molecule: long non-coding RNA, 368 nt
Organism: Meriones unguiculatus (Mongolian gerbil)
Lineage: Eukaryota; Metazoa; Chordata; Mammalia; Rodentia; Muridae
Exons: 3
Source: RefSeq, a predicted model, not a curated record
GGGUAAAAGCUUUUCCACACAGAUAAAGAAAUUUUCCCAUUCAUGCAAGUAUUGAUGUAAAUCUUACUGAAAGAUGAAUACAAGGAAAGAGUGACCCAACAUAUAUCAGGUUUGGUUUUGCUAUGUCUUAGACACCUGCUGCUAUACAACAAGUACAAAAUAUUUGGUAAAACAUGUAUUUCAAAGAAUAAUAGAAAUUACAAGUUUUCAUCUAGCCCACAGCUUCUUAAAUAUUUUAAACUUGAAUCUUAUAUAUGGAAGCAUGGCUCCAGGCUCCUAUGACACCAUUGAUGAAAUUAGUAAGUCAGUCCACACUUCUGACUUGAGGGAACCAUAAAAACCCAUCUAUCAGAGAUGGCAGGCAAUGA